This 642-nucleotide long non-coding RNA is filed under the name Marmota monax (woodchuck). The record is from RNAcentral. Lineage: Eukaryota; Metazoa; Chordata; Mammalia; Rodentia; Sciuridae.
GAAUUCUUCAUGUUUUAACAGCAAGCUGUAGGUCAUAUAUUUUUAUACUAUAGUAGUCCAGUUGAACUAAGUAUAUGCCAUUGGCCUAUGGGUUAAUAAAUGCAUGACAAUAAUUCUUUAUUAAAUUAAGAUUUAAUUCACUAGAUUAGUAGGGCAGACACUGUGAUCUAUAAUAAUAUUGUUUAUAUAUUUCUGAUUAAAUGUUCAUUAUUUUUAUACUAGUGUAACUCCUUAGCUAGUUCAGGAUGUGGGUGAGGUUAGGAGACUUACGUAUUUUAAAAUCAACAAAAUGAUUUAUUAGACCAGAUAGUUUGUUGGAUUUAGGAAUUUCACAUAUAUCAUUUUCACAGUGUCCGGGAUCAAUUAAAAAUAUGUAUGGUUUUGUCAUAGUGGUCCAUAUAUAAGAAAAGUCAAUCACUUUUAAAUGUGUUAGCCUAUUUAAUGGUUGUGCUCAGUUGGAACUUUCAACUCAGAUCUCCAAUGAACUAAACAAACUUCCAUCAAAAGACUACUUACAUCAGCCUACUAUCCUAUGGCUGUAAUCUGUUCUAAAAUAAAAUUUGACUUUGUGUUUUUCCUUUCAAAACCUUCUAACACACCAACAUUUGUCUUUUACACUGUCUGGGUUUAAAAAAAAAUAAA